UUCCUGUUAGCUCAACGGAUAGAGCAAUCACCUCCUAAGUGUUAGAUGCAGGUUCAAUUCCUGUACAGGAAACCA
RNAcentral lists this transfer RNA (75 nucleotides) under Hafnia alvei. RNAcentral's name for it is "tRNA-Arg". It matches the Rfam family "tRNA". From Rfam's summary of the family: Transfer RNA (tRNA) molecules are approximately 80 nucleotides in length. The record is from RNAcentral. Lineage: Bacteria; Pseudomonadati; Pseudomonadota; Gammaproteobacteria; Enterobacterales; Hafniaceae.